Long non-coding RNA from Cyprinus carpio (common carp), 551 nucleotides. RefSeq lists it as uncharacterized. The transcript is spliced from 4 exons. NCBI's taxonomy places the organism in Eukaryota, Metazoa, Chordata, Actinopteri, Cypriniformes, Cyprinidae. The record is from RefSeq and is a predicted model, not a curated record.
AAAGCAUUUUGAGCGGGGAAACGAAUAAAUGUUAUUAUAUUGUAUGUAUUUAGAAAGAAGUCACCUUUUAUUUAUUUUAUUUUUUUUAACUUAUUUUUGCCAUGUUUCCCGGUGCUGUGUGCUAUAGUUUCUAAGUUUUAAAAACGGACCAUUUAUUGGGAAAUAUUCCAGGAAGUGACAUCAUUUUGGUGGGAAAGCAACAAUCAACAAUUUAUCAUCUAACAGAUUUGGAGAGAUUUAGCAUUACAGCACUUUCUCAUCAAUGGAUCCUCUGCAGUGAAUGGGUGCCGUCAGUAUGAGAGUCCAAACAUCUGUUCUGAUGAAGAAACAAACUCAUCUUGGAUGGCUUGAGGGCCUGCGUUUGUUGGUUAUCGCGUCGUUCAAUUGCACUGAACUGGAUAAUCACAUCGAUCGCAUUCAGAAAGCAACAGCCGGUGUGUUUUCAGGUCCAUGGAUGUGUUGCAAAGCUGUAGGCCGAGUGCAUUUAGCAGUGGAUGUUUUAAUGAAAGAUGAGUAUCUGUUUCUCCCCAGGCAGUCUCUGUGGUAAUAAG